GGCUGGCACUGCCAUCUUCCAGUAAUUCUCCAAAAUGACCAACGCGAAGGGAAAGAGGAGGGGCACCCACUAUAUGUUCUCUAGGCCUUUUAGAAAACAUGGAGUUGUUCCUUUGGCAUCAUACAUGCAAAUCUACAAGAAAGGUGAUAUUGUAGCCAUCAAGGGAAUGGGUACUGUUCAAAAAGGAAUGCCACAGAAAUGUUACCAUGGCAAAACUGGAAGAGUCUACAGUGUAACCCAGCAUGUUGUUGGCAUUGUUGGAAACAAACAAGUUAAGGGCAAGAUUCUUCCCAAUAUAAAAUUAAUGUGCAUAUCAAGCAUCUUAAACACUCUAAGAGCCAAGACAGCUUCCUGAACCAUGUGAAGGAAAACAGUCAGAAAAAGAAGGAAGCCAAAGAGAAAGGGACUUGGGUUCAGCUGAAGCACCAGCCUACUCCACCCAGAGAAGCUCACUUUGUGAGAACCAAUGGAAAGGAGCCUGAACUGUUGGAACUCAUUCCUUAUGAAUUCAUGGCAUGGUAAGUGUAAAGAAAAUAAA
Molecule: RNA transcript, 538 nt
Organism: Phacochoerus africanus (Common warthog)
Lineage: Eukaryota; Metazoa; Chordata; Mammalia; Artiodactyla; Suidae
Gene name: 60S ribosomal protein L21-like
Exons: 1
Source: RefSeq, a predicted model, not a curated record